RNAcentral lists this transfer RNA (73 nucleotides) under Candidatus Omnitrophota bacterium. RNAcentral's name for it is "tRNA-Trp". It matches the Rfam family "tRNA". From Rfam's summary of the family: Transfer RNA (tRNA) molecules are approximately 80 nucleotides in length. Their secondary structure includes four short double-helical elements and three loops (D, anti-codon, and T loops). Lineage: Bacteria; Pseudomonadati; Candidatus Omnitrophota. The record is from RNAcentral.
AGGCCUGUAGCUCUAACGGCAGAGCAACGGACUCCAAAUCCGUGGGUUGGAGGUUCAAAUCCUCCCAGGCCUG